Long non-coding RNA from Capra hircus (goat), 1928 nucleotides. RefSeq lists it as uncharacterized. NCBI's taxonomy places the organism in Eukaryota, Metazoa, Chordata, Mammalia, Artiodactyla, Bovidae. The record is from RefSeq and is a predicted model, not a curated record. The transcript is spliced from 4 exons.
CUCAGCUCCCAGCGGCGGCGGCGGCCAUGUUGGCCUUGGUCAUGUGACCCGCCGCCGUCGCGCGCCGGAGGUGAAAGUUCAAGAAGUGGGGGUUGGAGGGGUGGGUCUGCCGGACCAGGACCAGGAAACAGCUGCUCGCACUGGGGCAGCAACAGGCUGAGGCCGCCCAGGGGUUCCUCCCACCGCCCGCCAAAACCAACCCGCCCCGGUUUUAGCGGCUGCGAGGUCCUCCCACCCAACUCCACGCCCCUUCCUAGCGCGGGGCUUCUUCCGUCCCGGAGCCCCGCCCGGCUCCCGCCUCCCGCGCCGCUACCCCUUUGCUGGGGAGGUGGCGUAGGACUUCCUGAUCGCCGCGGGUCAUGCCACCGUAAGUCCCAACUGUUCAGCCCCCAGUCCCUAGCAUUUCAGCAGUCUGGACACUAGAGGAUUCCAGACAUUUCAGCUGUUUUCUGGACAACCCCUGGAGCUGCUACUGGUAACGCACACCCACGAGUUGGAACCCAGCAUCCCUCAAACAAGUGCUUUCCUCCAGGAUUCUCAGUUCCUAACGGGAUACCACCAUCCACUCUGGUGUGCCCACACCAGAAACUUGGAAGAGAAAUGGGCUCAGAGAUAAAGAAAACACAGUCUUGGCCUCAAGAAGAUCACAAACCAGCGAGAAAACUGGAAAAGAAGUUUCCAGAAUCUGGGAAGUCCGUCUCAGACUGGAAGGCCUCCAGAAAUCCUUAGUCCAGCUGCCCGUCUGAUGCAGGAAUGCCUUCUCCAACACUGCUGCCAGCAUCGCAGGUAGGCAGACCAGCCCAGCAGGGGCAGGCUGUCAGAACGCAUCUUCUCCUUGAGCAUUCUUCACUCCAGCCGGUGGCCCCCUACCCCUGAGCCCACCAAAGCUCUCCGCCACAGAAAACCGUGAUUGGUGCCUCUGUGAGCGUGGGACAGGAAGAGUUAACCUGCUGACAGACGGCAUUUUUUACCUUCAGUCAAUAUGAACAAGGCCCCAAGACUAUGAUUCCAAACAUCUGGAUUUCAUCAAUAUGUGAUCUGUCAUCGUAUAUUGGCAUUCCCCAGUCCCCGCGCCAGAGCAAUGCGGCUGGUUUUAUUAAUACGUCAAAUACAUUAUCCGUGUAAUACACUUGUCUGGCUGGGGCCUCCCGCUGGGGCGGGGCGGCAGAUUUGAAUGUAUGAUGAAUCAGUUUGCAUUACAUGUUCGUAAGUCAUCAUUUGUCAGGAUUAAUAGGCAUCCCUGGUCGAGGGGGUGGGGGUGGGGCGGGCAGAGGAGAGACGGGUGUUUAGCUAUGGCCCAUCCUUAUCUGCCAGUGCCCAGGGAUGCCCUGAAAACAGCUCUGCACUCUCCUGCCCAGACCCCAGGGCAGUGGCUAGUGGUCUGGUGAUAUUUUUUAGCAGUUCCAGAGUCACUUGGAAGCAAAGAGGCCUAUUUGUCUCUGCUUUGGGCUUGCCAUGCAACCAAAAAGGGUAUGGCAGGGACCGUUUGCACAGACUGGCUAACUCUUGCUCAUCCUUUAAGACUCUGAAUUCUUUCUUCCAGGGAGCCUUUCCUGACUCCUCCAGACUGCACUAGGUGCCUCCUCUGUGUUCCCAUAGUUUCCUGUGCUACCUCUGGUCACACAAUGUUACAGUUGCCUAUCAUGUAUCUGUCACUCUCUUUAGACUAAAUUUCUUGUGGGCAGGGAAUAACUUGUUUAUUGCUAUAGUCCCAGAAGAUCCCCUGGAGAAGGGAAUGGCAACCCACUUCAGUAUUCUUGCCUGGAGGGCUACAAAGAGUCGGACAUGACUGAGUGACUAACACUUUCGACUUUCAGUAUUUUGCAGAGGGCGUAACCCAAAGUAAGACGAUAUUAGUAGUUUAAGUAGAAACAAAUACAUAUUCCUUGAGUGAAUGAAUAAAUGUUGACCUUGCUAAAUCCCCAGAA